This is a long non-coding RNA of Mytilus californianus (California mussel), 2340 nucleotides long. RefSeq lists it as uncharacterized. The record is from RefSeq and is a predicted model, not a curated record. NCBI's taxonomy places the organism in Eukaryota, Metazoa, Mollusca, Bivalvia, Mytilida, Mytilidae. The transcript is spliced from 2 exons.
UGCAUAUCAAGGACUAUACAUUAUAAUUAUAAACGAUUGAUCGAUCAGUUAUGGUUGGCAAUUGUGCCAACUUGGAUGAAGGGCAGAAAUUUACACUGCGACUUUAAAAAGAUGGUCUUUUGGAUAGAAGCAGAAAUUUUUCUAAAGGUCGCCUAAGGACCCCUCAACAGUAUACUUUUGUACUUAUAUGCACGGCAUAAUAACAUAUAUGGCAUGUUGGAUGCUAUGGGACCUUGUAUAUCUAAUGUAAAAGAACAUGAGAAAAGUUUGAAGACACCAAGGGAUAAUAGAGCAAGCAGAAAUCCUUCCUGGAAGGAGGGCGGACAACACAAUAGCAAAAAGAAACAAGUAGAAGAAAUAAUAAUCAUAAAACACAUUAAAACUAAAGAGUGGGCGAAGACACUACAGGACCUUAACCGCAAAUUCUUUGUUUAUGGAACAUUCGAAUUGAGAGUUGAAUAUAUUCAGUUUAUACGAAAAGAUUGAAACAAUAUAUGCAUUGUAUUGACCACAGGAUAAGAACAUGUUUUACUACCUUAAUAUAUAGCAAGGAUAAAACGAGGACAAAAUAAGAUGUAGAUUAUAUGUCUAUCAUAUCUAUAAGACACAAAUCAAACGAAAAAAAAAUGUCGGUCGAAAGUCAGUCUUCGAACAAAUGGGGUCAAAUGAACAGGAAACAAUACCUAGAAACUUUUUAUGGCAUCGAACAAAGCAUGUCUCACUCCUUCCAAAACAGUCUAAGAUAGCAGCCAUCUAUAUCAGGAAUCAGGAAAAUGUAAUAAAAUCCUUACUAGUAGGAACAUAAGGAGAAUGAUAUGAUUGCCAGUGAGACAACCAUUCGCCAGAGUAAAAAUGACGUUGAUGCAAGCAUCUAUAGGACACCGCGCGGCCUCCAACCAUGAACAAAACACAGACUGUAUACCGAAAAUCAGGCAUUAGUUAUGAAAGAACUAAACCAGAAAAACCAACGGGCUGAUCGAUGAAAAGGAAUAAACGAAAGACAAAUAUGACAGACAGCAACAGCCACGGAAUCACAGGCUCCUAACCCGUAUAGACACGCAAAGAAUGGGCGGGAUCAAACAUGUCUGCAAGUACCACUGUUUUAUACUGUACCUGUUCAUUCGUAAAUUCUUGAAAAAAAAAAGUAUGAAGACAGUCUAAACUGUGGUGAUGUUUUUGGUAAAAGUAUUUUAUUCAAACUGUUUACCACUUGCAUUGAACUCAGAGAAGACAAUUAGUUCCUUCCCGUCUGUACAAAAAAAUGGAAAACCUAACCAAGAAUUACAAAAUUCAGACCAAUCAAUAGGUAGUGGUGUAUUAUCAACGGGAACAAAACCAUAAACAGUUUCAUGAUAAAAUUCAUUGUUUAAGUAAAACUUUAUGUUGCAAAUCAAAACAAAAUAGUAGUUUAUCGAUGUUCAAGUGUCAUAAACACUAAGAAGGUACAAAUCAAGGUAUAAAACAAAAAAUGAGAAAAUUGCGUUAACCAGGUGCAUCGGCAGGAUAAGUGUCCCCUGCUAUGCAUGCAUAACACACCAUGGUAAUCCUCACUUAGUUAAAAUGUCUAAAUCGGGAAUAAGACACAAUAAGCAGAUUUACAGACCAGACGACUAUAAUGGUAUCUAAAGAACGAAGACCGCGAACACAUGUCGCUAUUGUGUUAAGAAACACAUACAUCGUAUCUGUAAAACAAAAUAUGAUGGUGACCGUAAAACUUAUGUAGUGUCUGUUUCAGUCGUUUUUCCUCAUAACUUAUAUGGAGCCGAUCUUUCGCCAGAAGCACACCUAAAUAGAAAUGAAAACUGACUUAAAAGUAUCAAUUUACGAAGAUGCUAUCAGAAAUCGAAUCGAAGGAACACGAACAACACUAUUUGCUAAAAAAAUAGUUUAUUGGUAGUUCUGGUCUAUUAAACUUUUUCACAAUUUGUCUCGAUUUGUGGAAUAACAAAAGCUACACUGCAAAACGCAAUAAUGUAAAUCAUUUAAGAAAACCACAUAUCUCGAUCAUGUUGGCAUUUCAGUCGAGAAUACAGGUACACAUUUAACAUAAUAAACUGGAAGCUUUGAGUAACCUGUAUCGUUAUUUACGCACAAUAUUGACUACUGUACAUUUUAUAAAGUAUGCCAACAGUCGUGAACCAUGCCACACACAAGUCUCCUACAAAUUUCCUUUUUUCAAAAUCACAAAGAACCCAAGAAAAUGGUAAACGAAGAACUUCAUAAUAUUAUUCUAGCUAAGUCCGACUGUCCAGCAGUUUGAGGAAAAAAAAAUAGUUCAACACCAAGAAUAUCCAUUCUUAAUGACUGUGGGCAGCAAAUAACUUUUACAGACGCUAGAAA